GAUGAACGCUGGCGGCGUGCCUAAUACAUGCGAGUCGAGCGAACGGACGAGAAGCUUGCUUCUCUGAUGUUAGCGGCGGACGGGUGAGUAACACGUGGAUAACCUACCUAUAAGACUGGGAUAACUUCGGGAAACCGGAGCUAAUACCGGAUAAUAUUUUGAACCGCAUGGUUCAAAAGUGAAAGGCGGUCUUGCUGUCACUUAUAGAUGGAUCCGCGCUGCAUUAGCUAGUUGGUAAGGUAACGGCUUACCAAGGCAACGAUGCAUAGCCGACCUGAGAGGGUGAUCGGCCACACUGGAACUGAGACACGGUCCAGACUCCUACGGGAGGCAGCAGUAGGGAAUCUUCCGCAAUGGGCGAAAGCCUGACGGAGCAACGCCGCGUGAGUGAUGAAGGUCUUCGGAUCGUAAAACUCUGUUAUUAGGGAAGAACAUAUGUGUAAGUAACUGUGCACAUCUUGACGGUACCUAAUCAGAAAGCCACGGCUAACUACGU
RNAcentral lists this ribosomal RNA (496 nucleotides) under uncultured bacterium. Its description in RNAcentral is "partial 16S ribosomal RNA". It matches the Rfam family "Bacterial small subunit ribosomal RNA", at positions 28 to 506 of the family's 1533-position model. The record is from RNAcentral.